This 363-nucleotide ribosomal RNA is filed under the name uncultured Spirochaetaceae bacterium. RNAcentral's name for it is "bacterial SSU rRNA". It matches the Rfam family "Bacterial small subunit ribosomal RNA", at positions 1020 to 1382 of the family's 1533-position model. Lineage: Bacteria; Pseudomonadati; Spirochaetota; Spirochaetia; Spirochaetales; Spirochaetaceae. The record is from RNAcentral.
CAAGGGACCUGUGAACAGGUGCUGCAUGGCUGUCGUCAGCUCGUGCCGUGAGGUGUUGGGUUAAGCCCCGCAACGAGCGCAACCCCUACUGCCAGUUACCAACACGUUAUGGUGGGGACUCUGGCGGAACUGCCGGUGACAAACCGGAGGAAGGUGGGGAUGACGUCAAGUCCUCAUGGCCCUUAUGUCCAGGGCUACACACGUGCUACAAUGGUCGGUACAGAGUGACGCGAAGCCGCGAGGUGGAGCAAAUCGCAGAAAGCCGGCCUUAGUUCGGAUUGGAGUCUGAAACUCGACUCCAUGAAGGUGGAAUCGCUAGUAAUCGCGCAUCAGCAUGGCGCGGUGAAUACGUUCCCGGGCCUU